This 1341-nucleotide ribosomal RNA is filed under the name Triticum aestivum (bread wheat). RNAcentral's name for it is "partial small subunit ribosomal RNA". The record is from RNAcentral. Lineage: Eukaryota; Viridiplantae; Streptophyta; Magnoliopsida; Poales; Poaceae.
AUGAACACUAGCAUAUCAAACAGUGUGCAUACACCAAUAAUUGUGGAGAUACCUGGUGAAUUAGAUGAGUUGAGCCAAGCAUCUCAAAAGCUGGAGACUGCUUACUCCAACAUCUUUAACAAGAUCCACAGGUUCCCGGCAUCACUGCGAAGCCUGGAUGGCGAUUACAUCGUCCCAAGAAUGGUGUCCAUAGGCGCUUACCACCAUGGCCGCCCGGAGCUGCAGGGCAUGGAGGAGAUCAAGAAGGCGGCGGCACACCAGUUCUGCAGGGACUCGGGCCACUCUCCCGAGGCCGUGUACGAGAAGGUCCUCGCCGUCGCCGGCGAUGCUCGAAGCUGCUACACGGACGGCGGAGCCGCAGGCGCGCUCGAGGGCGAUGACUUCGCGUCCAUGAUGUUGAGAGACGGCUGCUUCUUGCUGCAGCUCGUGCUCUGGUUCUUGCAGGACUGCUCCGGCGAUGGCAAGCGUGGCCCUCCGCCGUUCACGUGCCAGGUCAACAGCCUGGCCCUUCUGAGGGACCUCUUCCUGCUGGAGAACCAGAUCCCGUGGGCGGUGCUGGAGGCCCUCAUGGCCUGCCGGGCGGCCGUCUUCCCGGCUGCGCUGUGUGAGUUCGUCGUCUACAUGGGGAAGUUCUUCCAGCUGCACACCGACACCGAUCUGCUAGCCAAGCCCCUGGACCUGGACGGGGGCUACAGGCCGGCGCACCUCCUUGCCCUCCUCCAUUUCCACCAAUCAGGCGGCUCGAGCACAACCGAGGAGCUUCGACUCCGGGGGCUCAGUUCACUGCCGCCGGUGGUCACAAACGCCGUGGACUUCGCGGAGAUGGGCAUCAAGCUGGCUCCCAGCAAGACGGCGGAGUUCAGGGACAUGGCUCUCACCCAGGGCCUCCUCUUCCCGGAGCUGUCCAUGCCGCCUCUGUACCUCGCCGAGCUCACCGCGAGCUGGCUCGUCAACAUGGCGGCCUUCGAGGCGAGCACGGGGGUGCCUCACGGCGCCACCUCCGGCGAGUACACGGUCAGCUCGUACCUCACCCUCCUGUCCGCGCUCAUGGACCGGGAGGAGGACGUGCGCGAGCUGUGCGCCAAGCGGCUCGUCCAGAGCGAGCUCACCGACGGCAGGACGCUCGCCUUCUUCAAGGGCGGCCUCACCAGCUACGCGUACGUGAACGACCGCUACAUGGCCAUACUGAGCCAGAUUGCGGGGUACAGGCGCAGGCGCAGGCUGUGGAUCGCCGUCCACAAGUUCGUCUACACCAACUUCAGGACCAUCGUUACGUUGCUGUCCGUCGUCAGCGUGCUCGUGGGCCUCUUCAAGGCGCUCCUCUCUCUCAGCAAAGCCUAG